This is a long non-coding RNA of Prunus persica (peach), 1737 nucleotides long. RefSeq lists it as uncharacterized. Lineage: Eukaryota; Viridiplantae; Streptophyta; Magnoliopsida; Rosales; Rosaceae. The record is from RefSeq and is a predicted model, not a curated record. The transcript has 7 exons.
CUAAAGCCUUAGCUACAAGCCCGCACCACUAUGCUUUGCAAUGUAAACAAUGUAAGUCCUUAUAAACCUUUGUAUUGUCAUUUGUUCCCCCGAUGUCGGAGUUUUUGUAAUCAAACUAUUCCUUACCCACUGGAAGUGUCAAACGGGCAGUGUCCGGUCGGUGCUGUAUUAUUGGAACCCCGAAACCAACAUUUCCCAGUAUGAAAAACCUAACUCCACCUAUCGUUAUUCCACUUAGCAAUCGCUUCAAGUUGACCCCUACCUUUCUCAGCCACAAAACUCCUUUGCCCCAGCACCAAACACUAGCGAUUCAGUGCAAUCAGUUGCCCCAAUGGAACGGAAGAUGAGGUUUGGGCUCUUUCAUCCGAUUGUUUCUCUGCUAUUCUUUGUGAACCACACCUUUCCGGUGCCAUCGAACCCAAGUCCAAUCGCCCAUGGUUCGAGGCUAAGAGAUAUGGACGUGUGUGCUGUUUUGGUGCAUUGCUUUGCUGGUGUUUCGAGACGUGCAGCUAUCAUUACAGCAUAUCUGAUGAGAACAGAACAUUUAUCACAACAAGAAGCACUAGGAUCCCCAAGGCAAAGCUGUGAGUUUGUUUGCCCCAAUGAUGGUUUUCUAGAUCAGCUCAAAUUUACGAGGAAAUGGGCUUAAAGGUUGAUCGUGCCAGCCCCAUAUAUAAGUCUUUUCGCCUGAAAGUAUUGGGUAAUUGAGGACCUUGGUGGUGCUAUUAUUUCUGAUGGAAGCACAAGCACACAUGUUGUCACGGGGAAAGUGGGAACAACUUUGAAUUUUUGUACUGCUCUUUGUUCAGGGUAUGGGUAAAACAAUUACUGAGCACGUAUACCAAAUGGGCCAAAAAGCUAGGUUAUAAAGGGAGGGUCAUUGAGAAGUGUUCUUCCACAUAUGGUGGCAUCAAGUCAGCAACUAUUGAAUCUGAGUUUGCUUAUGGCUAUCUUUCGGGAGAGACAGGUGUUCACAACAUUAUAAGUUCGCAAAGUGGAUCUGCUUUGCAUUUGUUUGACUUGCCGGAGCUAUGACUUAUGAGGAGAGCAGGAACAGUGUGCAUUGAGCUCCAUUUGAUUGUGUCCCCUGCCGCCCUCAUUGCUUCAACCUGAAUGUAAUGUUACACCUGGCUCCCAAUCUUCUACGAAGAACCUCAUCUAGAACACCUGCACCCUCACCCUCCUCUUCCAAAUUUCCUAUAUGAUAAAUAGAGGAUGGAAAUGUUAAAUUAAUCAGUUGUACAAAUUAAUCUCUAAUGUAUGUACAACGUUGAAUUGCUUGGGCUCUACAAGUGUUUGGAAGGCCAAUAAUAAUGAAAUUCACAAGUAUCUAACCAUCUUGGAUUUAUGAUAGCCUGGCUAACAUGCACGCAUGGGUAGAAGUUCUUAGUUUUCUAUUUUCUGGAGAAGGAUGUAAGGAUUUCUUUCAUAGUUUCACUGUGAGUUUGUGAUUCACCCUCAACACACCAAAUCUACUAUCUAUUAUCUAAUGUAAUGUCUGGUUCAAUGGAAUGGGUCUAACGGAAUAUACUCUGUGUUGAUUAUUAUAGUGAGGAAACAUUUGUAGUUAUUAGAAGUUUGAUCUAAAUAUCAAAAGUAUUAUAGUUUCUAUUUCACAGAAUACAAUUACAAUUUUGUGGUUGGCUUUGACUGUAAUUAAUCAAGUCUUAGCUAGACCAUGGGAUUAUAGUUGGAAGGAUAGUUGAGAUUGGGAGUCUAUUGAUAGGAUGAUCAUCA